This is a long non-coding RNA of Rhagoletis pomonella (apple maggot), 1107 nucleotides long. RefSeq lists it as uncharacterized. The record is from RefSeq and is a predicted model, not a curated record. The transcript is spliced from 4 exons. Lineage: Eukaryota; Metazoa; Arthropoda; Insecta; Diptera; Tephritidae.
UCCCAAGAUGAGGAGAUAAUAAGCUCUUCAUCAGUGGAUAGACGUUUGCUUCGAGAAGUGGACAACCCUUUCGACUUGGCUGCAACUGAGUUUCGUAACCUUUACCGAUUAACCCCAGACUUGGUUGAAGAUAUUGUUUCCCAGCUUGAUAGCCAAUUAAGGGGUCGAAGAAUAACUGCGAUAACGACAGAGAAACAGGUUCUAACUGCCUUGCGAUUCUUCGCAACUGGCUGUUAUCAACGUCCAGUCGGAGAGCAAUGGGGGAUAUUCAUGAGCCAGUCGUCCGUAAGUCGCUGUAUACAUCGCGUAACGGAUGCAAUAAACCGCACCAUGUUUUUGGCAAAGGUUAGGUUUCCAAUGACCCAAAUAGAGCGGCAAGCUGCAAAAGAAAUUUUCGCCUCAGCAUCCGCACCAUUUGUAGGAGGUACUAUUGGGGCUAUCGAUUGCACUCAUGUGUCAAUCAUGAGCCCAAAAGAAUCAUGAAGAAGCGUAUGUCAACCACCAUGGAUACCAUUCUAUCAAUGUGCAAAUGAUAUGUGAUCCAAAUCUAAAGAUUUUGGCUGUCAAUGCUAAAUACCCAGGAGCGCGACACGAUUAAUUUAUUUGGAGCUCCUCUGCAGUCCGGAGAGUUAUGCAGCGAAGUUUUGAAAAUGGAAACCAUAACGUGUUUUUGAUUGGUGACUCAGGAUAUCCUUUGGAGCCGUGGUUGAUGACUCCUCUACCAAACCAACCAGAAGGGAGUCCUAAAUUCCGCUACAAUGAGGCAUUGUGCAAAGCUCGAAACCCAGUCGAGAGACUUUUUGGCGUUCUCAAAGGAACUUGGCGAUGCUUAUCUCAGCAAAGGACUCUUUUGUAUGAUCCUGGAUUUACUGGAAAAGUAGUAAAUGCUUGCACAGUGUUGCAUAACUUGCGAUUGGGUGACCAAACAUACGAUCCCGAGACUGAGUUCCUAGAGCCAAGGACACAUAGCAGUAAUGUAAAUCAAGACGUGUCGUCUUCAACAGCAAAACGCGUCCAAGACCGGCUAAUUGCAAAUUAUUUUACAUGAAUAAAACGUUGAUUAAUAAAAAUUCAGAAGGAGUACAAUAAAAUUAUUUUGGCAUUUUA